CCCAUCCGUGUCUAUUGUACCCUGUUGCUUCGGCGGGCCCGCCGCUUGUCGGCCGCCGGGGGGGCGCCUCUGCCCCCCGGGCCCGUGCCCGCCGGAGACCCCAACACGAACACUGUCUGAAAGCGUGCAGUCUGAGUUGAUUGAAUGCAAUCAGUUAAAACUUUCAACAAUGGAUCUCUUGGUUCCGGCAUCGAUGAAGAACGCAGCGAAAUGCGAUAACUAAUGUGAAUUGCAGAAUUCAGUGAAUCAUCGAGUCUUUGAACGCACAUUGCGCCCCCUGGUAUUCCGGGGGGCAUGCCUGUCCGAGCGUCAUUGCUGCCCUCAAGCCCGGCUUGUGUGUUGGGUCGCCGUCCCCCUCUCCGGGGGGACGGGCCCGAAAGGCAGCGGCGGCACCGCGUCCGAUCCUCGAGCGUAUGGGGCUUUGUCACAUGCUCUGUAGGAUUGGCCGGCGCCUGCCGACGUUUUCCAACCAUUCUUUCCAGGUUGACCUCGGAUCAGGUAGGGAUACCCGCUGAACUUAAGCAUAUCA
This 529-nucleotide ribosomal RNA is filed under the name Aspergillus sp. 3 GP-2013. RNAcentral describes it as "eukaryotic LSU rRNA". The stretch from base 159 to 312 matches the Rfam family "5.8S ribosomal RNA". The record is from RNAcentral. Lineage: Eukaryota; Fungi; Ascomycota; Eurotiomycetes; Eurotiales; Aspergillaceae.